Molecule: long non-coding RNA, 4695 nt
Filed under: Manihot esculenta (cassava)
Lineage: Eukaryota; Viridiplantae; Streptophyta; Magnoliopsida; Malpighiales; Euphorbiaceae
Description: long non-coding RNA (MESC_LNC006526)
Source: RNAcentral
CGGAACCCUAUGGCACAAGCCUCAAACCCACAUGCACAAGUAGAUAUGGAAUCCAAAGAUUUGAUAAACCCACCUCCUAUGGCACCCCACACUUAGAGAAGCUGAAACACCAAUAAUCGAAGGAUGUAGAGGAGAAUCUGACAAACGCCACAACGAAUAGUUGAUAAGUAAGCCAAGAUUCCUAGUGCAAUUGAUGAAAGCAAAUCCUCACUCUCACUCAACGCAAUACACGCCAAAGGCAUGAAAAGAAUUCUGAAAUUUUGAUUAAAAGCUGCCUCUUACAAUUGUUUCUUAUCCUUAUAUAGUAAGGAGAAAAACAAAUAAUACCCUAGUACACUCUUCUUGGACCUGACUUAAACACAUAAGGCCCAAACCUAAUCACACACUAAAAUAACACAUAAGUAUUAAAACAUAAGCCCAAAACAUGGCCCAACACUCUAAAACUUAAAAGAUAAAGUAUGGCCAGAAUACAAGCCCAAACAAAGCUAAAAUAAAACAAGUGUUAAAUAAUAAAAAUAUAGCAAGCCCAUCAUAGUCUUCACAAAAGUCUUACUUGAUCUUCACUUUAGGCUUCCCUUUGUGUAGUUUUAGCCCAUAGGUUUGAUUAGGCUCCCUAAGCUUAUGAUUGCAAGUGUUGUACCAAAUCUGUCCCAUAUGAGUUGAAGCACGCCCCAAAUCUAUAUGGAUCAUAUGAAUAUGAUUUUGAACUCCUUCUUGAUCCAUUUGAAUGACAUAAGUUUGCUCCACACCAUUGUUAGAAAUUUGCCCUAUUGAAUCCGUAUCAUUCUCUCAUUCUUUAGAAAAGAUUCGUCCUCGAAUCUUGCUGAUAUUUAUGUCAAAAAGGAAAGUUUUAGAAACCCAUGUGUCUUCAAAGACCUCCUUUUGAAUAGGUGGAAAUAGGAUAAAAAUUUCGUCAUGAAUGUUUUCAUCAACAACCUGCACAUCAAGAACAAAUGAACUAGGCAUAAAAAUAUUAGUCAUAGAAAGAUCUUGUGGAUGUGACCCAUUCUCCUCUACAACUUCCAAAACAGUCUCAUUCACCUCCUCCAUCUCAUCAAUCACGUGCUCCCCAUGUCCCUCAUCAUUCACAACCUCUUCUAUAAGUUCAUUGAUGGAAUUCUCAACAACAACCACAACAACAUAUGGUCUGCCUGCCGUGUAACGGUCUACCCAACAACAUAUGGCCUGCCUGCAUAGGUACCACAUCACACAAGAUCUCAUCCCUGUAACUACCAAUAGAAAAUGGUAUAACCACCUGGCGUGUAACCCGAACCUCUCCACAAUCAUUCAACCUUUGUAAUCUAUAUGGCUUAGGGUGUUUAAUAGAAGCCAAGCCCAAUUUUUCCACCAUAUACACACUAGCCACAUUUGUGCAACUACCUCCAUCAAUAAUGAGAGUACACACUUUUCUAUUAACCAAACACCUAGUGUGAAAUAUGUUUUCUCGUUGUUCUAGGCUUUCUUCCUUAACCUGCAUAUUCAGAGCACGCCUAGCAACAAACAUCUCACAAUGUGCAGCAAGCAACACAUUAUUAACCAAUACAUCUGAAUCAUCACAGUCAUUAUUGCAAUUAGGAGUUUUUUGAGGUAUUCUUGUAGAAGUGGAAGCUUGUGAGACAUUCAAACUCUCCAUAGUUUCAGUCAACCUCUCAAGAGUCUUAUUGAGCCUUUGUAACUCACCACUGACUGACUUCUUAAAGAGCUUAUAAUCGUUACCCAUAUUCGAUUCAGUUCCAUCAGUACGAUCCACCACAUUCUUGUCUUUACUCAUCCUACCUUAAAUCAACAAAGAACAAAAAGAACUAGCAAAUAUUGUGUUAAAAAAAAGUACUCAAGUGUUUGCACUCUUACCAUUCUUUUGCUGAUUCUUCAAUUGCACUUCAGAAACUAAGGUCAACCAACCACAAUGUGCGUUUAAUGAAACAAAGAAGAAAACCUAAAGAAAGAAGGAAGCGCACAAAAACUAGAAAGAAGACACUGACAAUUUGGAAAGUAACACACAAACUAGAUUUUGUGCUCCUUGAAAAAUAUCACCUAGAGUAUAGACACAAGCAAACAAUACUCCAACAAUGUCAAGGAAAUAAAGCAAGCUUAAACCAAAAACGAAACUUUGAAUUCAUAUAAAAACGAAUCUGGACAAAAGUUUGAAUUUAUUUCGCUUCAACGCAAAUUAAAUAUGGAUCUAUUUAAAUCUACCAAAAAAGGCAAGUAUCAAAACCCCACAAAUAGACUAAAAAAAAAAUCUCACUCAGUGCAGCAUUAUGGACGAAAAUGGGCAUUAAAAGAUGGAUUUGACACUAAAUCGAUUUAGAUGCAGUUGCCUUAAAUGUGCACCUUAAGAAAUAGGCAGAUUUCUUUUGUCUCCUAAUCUGGAUUCAACCCAAUUCAAAAUUUAAAAUUGAUUUCCAUAAACUACAGCAAUCAAUUGAGAUAGGUAAGGAAAUAUGGAUGAAAAAGGAAGCAUAUCACAAUUUCGGCCAGAUCAAGGUAAAUAAGGCAAAUGCAAAAUUUUUUUUUCGUUUUUUUUUUGGGAUUUCGAAUUUUCUUCCAAAAGAGAUUAUGUGAUAAUUUAUCAAGAAGGUGCAACCAUGAAUACAAAAGCUUUCACCGAAAUCAAUAAUGAAUAAAAGAAAACUCAAAAAAUAACUCUAGAUCCUGAGAUAAAUAAGAAUUUACCUCACUUUGGCUCUGAUACCAACUGAUGCGGAACCCAAGAUCAACAUGUGAUCAAAAACCCCAUCACACAACUUGAUAAAGAACAAGACAAACAUGUGAUAAAAAACCCCACCACAUUCUCUUUACCUUGCUUGUAUUUUAUCACAUAAGGAAAGAUUUCGAAAUACUCAACCCACUUACCAUGCCGCUUGUUCAACUUACCUUGUCCCUUCAAGUGUUUUAGAGAAUGAUGGUUGGUAUUAAUCACGAACUCAUUAGGCAGCAAGUAGUGUUCUCAAACUUCAAGAGCCCUAAUCAGUGCAUAGAACUCUUUGUCAAAGGUGGAAUAGCUCAAAUGUUCGCCACCUUGCUUCUCACUGAAAUAUGCUAUGGGUCGACCUUCCACCAUAAGAACAGCACCAAUACCAAUCCCAGAAGUAUCACAUUUGAUUUCAAAGGUUUUUGAAAAAUCAGGUAACCUCAAAACAAGAGCAGUAGUCUUAAAGGCAGUUUUGCACUCAUCACCUAGCUUCAUCCUAAUUUGAUGAUAACUGCUUUUCAAAUCAAUUUUGGUAAAAGAGACAACACCACAUAACUCUUCAAGCAUAUCAUCAACACACAUGCGCAUUAUUCCAUCUUUCUUUGGAACAAACAAAACAGGUACUGUGCAUGGACUAAGGCUCUCCCUGAUAUAUCCAUUAGCUAGCAACUCAUCAACUUGCUUUUGCAAUUCCUUCAUCUCCUCAGGAUUACUCCGGUAAGCUGGACAAUUUGGAAUCUGAGCUCCAGGGACAAAAUCGAUCUGAUGUUCUAUUCCCCUAAUGGGCGGCAACCCAGAUGGCACCUCCUCAGUAAAUACAUCCGCAAAAUUCUGCAACAACUUAGAAAAAAAAAACUAGGCAAUUCAUCAGUAGGGUUAGUCUCAAUCAUAAAAUUGAAACUAAAACAGAAAGCUCUCUUCCCUAAGUAUGCUUUCUUCAACUCUCUCUCUUUACAAUAGAAGGAAGACUUGCUGAAUUCUUCACUCUUCUCACUCAGCUUUCCUUUUACAUCCACACUAACUAACGUUUUCUCUCCUGCACAUCUCUCAUUUUUAUCCUUUCCUAUGCAGUCACUUUCCUUUGGGCCAUUCGAAACUUUCUUUUUACUACUUGCCUCUUUUCCCUCAUUCUUUUUACUUGUCUCACGUCCCUUACCCAAUUUAGCAGAUUGUUGUGAUUUGACUUGAUCUGCAUAUACAUCUUUAGGAGAUAAUGGUACAAGUAUAUGUUUUACACCAAGGAACGUAAAAGAAAACCUAUUACUAUACCCAUCAUGAAUGACACGCCUAUCAAAUUGCCAUGGUCUACCUAACAAAAUAUGUCCAGUUUGCAUGGGUACAAUAUCAUAAGUAACCUCAUCUACAUACUUACCAAUAGAAAAGGACACUUUACAUUGCUUUGUUACCCUUGCCUCGCCACUGUCAUUCAACCACUGAAAUCUACAAGGAUUAGGGUGUUUAAUAGUUUCUAGUCCUAAUUUAUCAACUAAAAUAGUACUAGCACAAUUAACUUGACUACCUGAAUCUAUUAUCAUGCAACAGACUUUAUCACCUAUCAAACAACGUGAUAUGGAUCUAAUAGGGCAAAUUUCUAACAAUAGUGUGGAGCAAACUUAUGUCAUUCAAAUGGAUCUAAAAGGAGUUCAAAAUCAUAUUCAUAUGAUCCAUAUACAUUUGGGGCGUGCUUCAACUCAACGCGGAACCCUAUGGCACAAGCCUCAAACCCACACGCAAAAGUAGAUACGAAAUCCAAAGAUUUGAUAAACCCACCUCCUAUGGCACCCCAAACUUAGAGAAGCUGAAACACCAAUGAUCGAAGGAUUUAGAUGAGAAUCCGACAAACGCCACAACAAAUAGUUGAUAAGUUAGCCAAGAUUCCUGGUGCAAUUGAUGAAAGCAAAUCCUCACUCUCACUCAAAGCAAUACACGCCAAAGGCAUGAAAGAAAUUCUGAAAAGUUUGAUUAAAAGCUGCCUCUUACAAGUGUUUCUUAUCCUUAUA